This 2018-nucleotide long non-coding RNA is filed under the name Zonotrichia albicollis (white-throated sparrow). RNAcentral's name for it is "lncRNA (ENSZALG00000009833.1)". The record is from RNAcentral. Lineage: Eukaryota; Metazoa; Chordata; Aves; Passeriformes; Passerellidae.
CCAGCUGCUGCAGGGCUGUCUGUCCUGCUGCAGGGCUGUCCUGCUGCAGGGCUGUCCUACUGCAGGGUUGCCCUACAUUCUCUGGUGCUCUUCAGCCGUCUUUGUGGUUUCUCUUCAGAGCUCCACAGUGCUGUACUUGGAGCAAACGUUCACUGCAUUCCCACUGAGUACAGUAAAGCCAGGAAUUAAAGAAAGUUUUUCAUAGUGAUUUUCAGUCUGGAGUCCUGGUUCCUGUCAUUUAUGAGUUACUAACUAGGCCUGCUCUCUAGACAUGAAUACUUUGUGAGCACUUGGGUUUUGUAGUUACUUCAGUAGCAUGGCACAUGGAAAAAAGCAUUCUCCAAGGAUCCAUCCAUGUCAUCAGCACCAUAGCAGAUUGUCUGUGGGACUGGCUCAAGCUGGUCUGAGCUGGUGGCACUGCUGCCAGUGCACAGUUUGUGAGGAGAGAGAUCUGUCCUGGAGCUCCUGCAUGCUGCUGCAGUGGGGCCAGGCCAGCAUUGCUGCUGUGCUUCUGCAUGCUGCUGCAGUGGGGCCAGGGCAGCAUUGCUGCUGUGCUCUGAGGGCAGGGGAUCCAGCAGAGAGGCAGAACCGCCUCCCUCACCUCGCCUGCUGCAGAGGCAGCCCCGGGCCCUGGUGGUUCCUGCUCUGCCAGUGCUCGGCCACGUUGUGUUGGCCCAGGUUUGUUAUCCCUCGUCCCCGGGCUGCUCUCCAUCCGUGGAUUCCCCAGGUUUCUCUGGGUGCCAUCCCUCUCCUCCAGAGGAUGAAUUGCACCAACAGCUCAGAUGGGCAGCAGGCCCUGGAGGAGCGCUGCCCACAAACGGCUCCUUGCUGUUACCAAUUUACUGAGCAAGUACGUGUGGGGAAGAGGUCUGGUUCUGAAGGAAUCAGAAGUAACAAAAGAGACUGGCUGGUCACUCAGUACUUGUUGCAGUGGUUCAUUGUACUAAAAAUGCUGUGUCUUCUCAUUGGCACUUGUUUUAUUUCAGCCUCUGUAUCCCACACUGUUGAGUCCUGGUAACAGAAGUAGCUUAAGGGUAGCAGAAAUUUCUUCCUGCGUAUUUGAUUUGUAGUCAUAAUUAACUCCACACAUAAUUUGCUGUAUGAGCUAAAGAGGCCUGCUAGUGUCAGUCAAAACAGCUUUUUUUUUCUCUGUGGUGCAUUGUUCUUUGGUGACAUGUAUCAGUUGGUGCAUUUUUCACUUUUUAAGUCCAGGGGGAUGAACCAGGAACCAGCUGCAGUGUUCUGUGACAGUCUGGUUUAUGUAAGAUAUGAGGAUGACCUUGCUCUACUCUCACCUACUUCUUCUUGUCCUCAGCUCCCUCACUACACUGUUAAUAUUCACUUUUACCCUCUUAAGCACAUUUUUCAGUUGUUCUGCAAAUGCCUCUGAGAACUCAUUUCUUUUGUUUCUAGAAACUCAGCAGAGUUUAAGGCCAGACAGCACAUGAUGAACACAUUCUGAAACAUUGUGGUGUAUUUCACAGAACUACUCUAGCAGAUACCUUAAUAACUACAUUUUGUACAGUAACUUUUCCAGAAAGCUUGGGUUUAAUAUGCAGAUUCUCUUUGCAAUUGUUAUAUAAUUUCAUUAACAUUCUUGAUAAAGAUGUCAAAUAACUGCAGAGUAUGGGAUUCUCUAGGACAAAUCCUUAUUUACAAUUACUUAAUAUCAAGCAUUUAAUGUACUCCACCAAUGCUUGUAUAACAUGUGGGGCCAAAACCAAGGCCCUAGAGAAAUUUAUGAUGUCAACAGCUACUUUUACCAAAAUGGACUUGUAAUUAAUUAAAGAAUAAUAUUUACAGAAAAUUCUUCUCUGUGAAACCACAUUGGCUGGGUCUUACUUAUGAGGCCCUUGGAUGUCAGUUGUUGGUGUGUCUGGGAGACUAAGCUGUGCUUACACUCAUCACACAGUUUGUCUUUCUUUAAAUAUUGGCACACUUUAGUUUUGCUUUGGGGGCCUGGAGGGAUUUUUUGGAGGAGGAGAGAGAAUAUAUUUUGGUUUGGGAGUUGUUCUGUU